RNAcentral lists this unclassified non-coding RNA (459 nucleotides) under Hevea brasiliensis (rubber tree). Lineage: Eukaryota; Viridiplantae; Streptophyta; Magnoliopsida; Malpighiales; Euphorbiaceae. The record is from RNAcentral.
UUUUACUUAUAUUUUUAAAUAUUUGUUCAUUGCAUGAAAUUUGCAAAUUUGUCAAAAAGUUCUACAUAGCGAUAAGUCGUUACUGUUAUGUCACAACCAUUGCAAACAUGUUUCUGUUAAUUGUGACCACGACCGUGUCAACCAGAAUUUAACUUCACCAAUUUACCAGAAACGCUUUAUAAUUCUCAUUUCUUUGCCAUCAUGAUCAAGGUCUAAAGCAGUCGUCACUUUCCAAAUACUCUUUCUGCAGAAAAAUGUUAAUAGUGAAGUUUUUGUUUCUCAUGAUAAAUUUAGUUCUAAGCAUCCUAAUUGCAAUUUUUUAUUUUCUUUCAGUGAAUGAAACAAAACCAACCAGAAAUUUAAGGAACAGCAGAGUUUAGGUGUUCAAUUUCAGUUGAACUUUGUUUCAGUCAUACACUUAACUCUUUUGAGUUCUCACUUCUGAGGGAUGAUGUAGUG